Long non-coding RNA from Amphimedon queenslandica, 538 nucleotides. RefSeq lists it as uncharacterized. The transcript is spliced from 3 exons. Lineage: Eukaryota; Metazoa; Porifera; Demospongiae; Haplosclerida; Niphatidae. The record is from RefSeq and is a predicted model, not a curated record.
UUAUAGGGAUGCCCCUUUGAUGUUUUACAUUCUUCUAUAUAGGCUCUUGUAAUACUUAAUUCAUAAUGUAUUAUUGCAUCAUCAUUAUAUGCAUUUGUUUAACAUCAAACUGUCAAAAUGUCUCACUGUUCAAACACAAUACCACAUUCAAAGUCAGUUAUAUUCUAUAGAUAAAAAUGGUUGCACACCACUUCACAGAGCAUGUAUGGACAGUAACUUUGAAGAGGUUGAUAAAUUGUUAUGCUAUGAAGCAGUGGAUAUCAAUGUUACUGAUAACAAUGGACGCAUACCACUUUUUUAUGCUUGUGAGGAGGGUAAUGAAAAAAUUAUUCAACUUCUCAUUGCAUUUGAAAAUAAACAGGAUCCUGUAAAUUUAAUCUUAUUAAAUGUGACAUCAAUCAUGUUGAUACUUAUAAACGUACAGCACUUCAUAUUGCCAGUUUAAAAGGACAUACACAAGUAGUCCAACUAUUAUUGGAGCAUAAAGCUAAUGUCAAUCUCGCUGAUAAAGAUGAACGUACAGCACUUGAUAUGGCUG